RNAcentral lists this unclassified non-coding RNA (251 nucleotides) under Paradendryphiella arenariae. Its description in RNAcentral is "partial internal transcribed spacer region". The stretch from base 1 to 46 matches the Rfam family "Eukaryotic small subunit ribosomal RNA", at positions 1786 to 1831 of the family's 1831-position model. RNAcentral also lists the same sequence under 1 other name. The record is from RNAcentral. Lineage: Eukaryota; Fungi; Ascomycota; Dothideomycetes; Pleosporales; Pleosporaceae.
AAGUCGUAACAAGGUCUCCGUAGGUGAACCUGCGGAGGGAUCAUUACACAAUAUGAAAGCGGGUUGGGACCUCAUCUCGGUGAGGGCUCCAGCUUGUCUGAAUUAUUCACCCAUGUCUUUUGCGCACUUCUUGUUUCCUGGGCGGGUUCGCCCGCCACCAGGACCCAACCAUAAACCUUUUUUGUAAUUGCAAUCAGCGUCAGUACACAAUGUAAUUAUUACAACUUUCAACAACGGAUCUCUUGGUUCUG